Molecule: long non-coding RNA, 1802 nt
Organism: Siniperca chuatsi (mandarin fish)
Lineage: Eukaryota; Metazoa; Chordata; Actinopteri; Centrarchiformes; Sinipercidae
Exons: 3
Source: RefSeq, a predicted model, not a curated record
UGGCUCCCUGUUGAAGCUUGGGUGCAGACGGAAACAGGCUGAUAAACCUGCCCUUUUACAAUCCUUAAUCAUAAUAACAAAUACUUUUCUAAGCCCCAAGUGAAUAAAAUCAUAAAUGCACUGCCAUCCACCUACAAAUCUCUUCAAUUAAAUACAAAACAAAAAAGACAUUAACACAGAAUCUGAAAUAUGUUUUUAUAAAAUAAAACUGUACAACAAAAGGUUUACAAAGAAAAGAUUGAUUCCAUAUGAUGUUUACUAAAAAGUACAAAUACACAAAAAAAAUACUCUGUAAAAUCAAAUAAACAUCACGUCCAUUCUUGCCACUGUACAAACAGAAUGUGUGCUUUCAUUUCAUUAUUUCAUGUGUUUUUGUGAACUAUGUGUUUCAGACUUUUGUCAUUUCAAGCUGCUCAAAGUGCUGUUUGUUUUUGCUUUGACCUCCAGGUUAUCACCUCGCUGCAGUCUUGGAGAAAGGAACUCCCUGAAAUCCCACUUUUAACCAGAGGAGAUCGUCAAAUACUGAAGCUUGGUCAGUGUCCCUCCGCUUCAAAUUAUGACGCCAUAGGUACCGCAUCAUUUCUGGAGGAAGUGGUUAGAUGCAUACAGAAUGCUGCCAGGCCGAUUACUGCAAGAACCAAAAUGGCUACGACCACUCCGACUCCAAUUCCUGUGUUUGUCUGCAUUCUUGCAUUACCUGUAGGCUCUGAAACAGAAAAAAAGAGUCUGUUAAUUGAACUUUCUAGAAACCACAUUUCCACAAGUGCAAUGAAAACUACUGAAGCAUCAAAAUGUUACCUGACUUUUUAAAAUGAGUGUAUUAAUGUUCAUUAAAAAUUACAGCCAAGUAAAAGUAUUUUUUUGGCUCCAUCUCAAAAUAUUACUUGAAUUACAAUCAUAAAAAUAGAAAAGCAGCAAAUCCUCACACCGGCGAAGCUGCCACCUAAAGGAUUAAUGAUUAACUGAUUGGUAGAAAUGUUGUUUGACCAAUCUUUUGUUAAUCUACUAAUUGAUUAGUCAACUAAUAAUUUCUCCCUAUUUUGUGUUACCCAAAUGUUUUAUACUUAAACAUUUGCUAGUGCACCAUAUCAGCAACCUAUCAACACCCUAGCAUCGACUGAAAAACACCCUAGCAACCACUCAAAACACUGCAACCACCUAGCAACCCCCUGCGGACACCCGAACGUACACCUGCAUACCUUAGCAACCACCUAGCAAAACUCUAGCAACCACAUGGCAACCACCUAGCAAUGCCUUAAGAGAGUGCUUAGCAUUGCACUUCUAUAACACUGUCAGACUCAAGGUGGACAGUAAAAAGUUUCAAAUUGAUGCAGCAGAACCAGAGAUGUCGUCUUUUUAGUCCAUGCAUUCUUCUUCCUUGUCAAAACCUGGCUCCUACAUUGCCCACAAUGCAACUCAACAGCCAACAGUCCCAUUGGAGAUUCGGGUUUGUUAUGCUAGUAGCGGCUAAUGUACAUAACACCAAUAAUGGGUCAACCUAUUGUCUUUGAUUUGAUUGGUCAAUAUAGAGCUUGUACCGGGGCAAGCCACACGGCCGCCAACUUGCUUUUGAAUAAUUGCAAUACUUGGUAAAGUGAACCCAGGAUUGUUGUCAUAGUUGUCAUAUUGAUCCAAAUUUGGUCAAUUUUGACCCAGUGAUUGUAUUGUGUGUAUUAUUAGAGUAACUAAUUUUGAGGAUAGUGUAACCUUGGCUUUAUGAACACAUCAUAGCAGCUGUUUGAGGCAGCCUGACCCACCACAUUAGUUUAAUAAAGUUCCACAGUGCCUGCAGGUCUUCUUAG